This 94-nucleotide transfer RNA is filed under the name Paracoccus marinus. Its description in RNAcentral is "tRNA-Val". Lineage: Bacteria; Pseudomonadati; Pseudomonadota; Alphaproteobacteria; Rhodobacterales; Paracoccaceae. The record is from RNAcentral.
GUGCCGGUCCGACCGGCUUGAUCGACGUUGUUUGACGGACGGCCGCGACGCAAGCGAAGGAUGGCGGGCGCGGUGCGACCCGCGCCGCCAUCCC